GGUGCUCUGAGGGACCAGUCUGGGAAACACUGGUAUGGCAGCCUCAUGUAGACAGAGCUGAGCAGGGCCAGCCGGUGGCCGAGUGGUUAAGUUCGAGAGCUCUGCUUUGCCAGCCCGGGGUUUCCCAGUUUGGAUCCUGGGGGCAGAUGUGGCACUGCUCAUCAGGCCAUGCUGAGGCCGCAUCCCACAUGGCACAACCAGAGGCACUCACAACUAGAUUAUACAACUAUGCACUGGGGGGUUUUGGGGAGAAGUAAAGAAAAAAAAGAUUGGCAACAGAUGUUAGCUCAGGUGCCAAUCUUAAAAAAAAAACUGAGCAAAACACGCAGGAUCUGAGAGUCUCUGCAGCAUGAUUUAAACAAACAAUAAACUUCCGUAUAUGUUUGUGUUUGAAAAAAGUCUGGCAGGAUGCAUCCCAGAACUUUAAUGGUGUUUGGGGUGUUGGGAUUACAGGUGACUUUUAUUUCCAUCUUUCCUUGUUUUCUUUGUUUAGCUUAUUUGGGUUUUCUAAACUGCCUUUCAUCACUGUGUACAAUUUUCAUAAUUGGUCAAAAAAGAAAAAGAAACAACUGUUAGGAAAGAAUGGAGGGACAGCUGAAGGCGUAUCCGCAGCUCUACCGCACCUAGAGGAGCAGGGCCUCCAGCCCGAGGAGCGGCCAGGCCCUUAUUUAGGCAGAGACGUCCCGAGCUCGCAUUCCAGUGGGAAUCCUCCCCGGCGCAUUCCUCCUGCAGCGCCGCCUCCUCCAGCUGCAGCCGCUCCCUCCUCCCAGGGCCUCCCUCUCCUUUGGUAGCCGCCGCGGCCGAGCCAGACUGCGCAUCUGGACCUCAUUAGGGGCCGCCAGCACCAAAGCCGACACAUCUGGCCGCCGCGAGGUUUAUAGAAAAAUCGCAGAGAUCGUACAGAGAGUUCCAGCAAACCUUUCAUCCAACUUCUCCCGAGGUUAACAUCUUGCAUAACCAGGGAUCCAAAUCCCGGCAAGCAUUUGUUCAUGGACUCAUCUGUUUUAGCACCUACUCUGUGUCAGGCUCAGAGGACGUAAAGAUAUUCGCUGAGCGCCUACUGUGCGCCAGGCCGUCGGCCAGGUACUGGAGACACAGCAGCGGACAAAAUAGACCCAGGACUGCCCGCACAAAGCUUUCUUCCCUGCGGGAAAGCAGACGUGGAAGUGAAACUGUGCUGGCUUUGGAGAUGCAGGUUGGGGACCGGGCCCAAGACCACUCCUCAGAGAUGACCACCUCCCUCUGGCGAUCCUGGAGUCUCCCCUGCCUGCCAGUUUUGAUCAGGGGUAGUUUGGGGACACAGCCUCUGGACGUGGCCCCCACUGGCCGGCCGGCUGGGAGGGCUCAGUGUUGUGACCAAAAUGCUGGGACUUCUCAGAGAAGAGUGGACAGCCCUCUCUACCCAACGAUAAAGGUCUGAUCAUCUUUGUCCGUGACAAACUGUCAUCUUUAAAAACAAAGUUUCAAAUUCGCCACCAGGAGCUGUUAUUCACAGGAUCAUCCAUGAAUCUUUGGGAAAAAAGAGAGAAACUUUUAGCAUUUGUGUUUUUCCAAAAGUAGCCCAUGUUUAUUGUUGAAAACACAGAUAGACGCAAAAGAAGAAAACAAAAUGAACGAUAAUCGGGCCUCCCAGAGAUAAUCGCUGUUAACGCUUUGGUUUCUACAUCUAUCUGCAUCUAUGGAUGUGUCGUAAUUGCCAUCUCCAUCUCCGCUUAUGCAGCUGAAUUCACUUUAAAGAUAAGAUUGUGCUGUACCAUUUCAUAACUUCUUAUCAACUACUAUAUCAGGAUCACUGGGCUCUGACUUGCUGUCUACACUGCCCCUUUCCACCACGGCAGAGUGUGCGAGUGCCGCAAGCUGUUCAACAGAUUUCCUAUUGUUGAAUAGUUGGGUUGGUUUACCAUUUUUAUGAUUUAAGAUGGAGCGGCAACACAGCCUUAUGGCCAAAUCUUUGCCACAAUUAUUUACUAAGGAUAAGUUCCUAGGAGUGAAAUUUCUGAGUUGAAGAGAAAGCACUAUUUAAAAGUUUUAAACUACUUAUUUUUGAGUAAAUAGUAUAUUCAAGAGUUUCGAAAUUUAAAAGGGAUCUCCUCACCUCUGUUCUCACGUCACCCAGUUCCCUCUCCAGAGGCAGUCACUAUUGCCAAUGUCUCCUGUUCUUCCCAGAGAUAUUUUGCACAUAUAUUCUAUAUAUGUCUACAGUAUCUGUGUAUGUAUAUAUACACAUAUACAAAAUACAGGCGUAUUCUCUAUAAAUAUGCCUAUGUACACAUGUACACACACAUAUAUAAAUAAUUUUCUUCACAGAUGGUAGUAUCCUCUAUAUGCUAUUCUGCACUUUGCAUUUUUCACUUAACAAAUUAUCUUGGAGAGUUCUCCAUGCCAGUACAUAAAGAUCUUCCUAAUUUUUUUUAACAGCUGUAUAGUAUUUCAUUAUAGUCAUGCGUCACUUAAUGAUGGGGAUACUUUCUGAGAAAUGUGUCGUUAGACAAUUUCGUCAUUGUGUGAACAUCAGAGAGUGCACUUACACAAACCUAGAUGGCACAGCCUACUACACACCUAGGCUCUAUGGUGCUAAUCUUACGGGACCACAUUAGUAUAUGAGGUCUGUCAUCGACUAAAAUGUUAUUACGUGGCGCUUGACUGUAUCUGCACAUACUGUAAUAUAUUUAAAUAGUCCCCUACUGAUGGACAUACGGUUGUGUAUUAAUUACAUAUGGCUGUGUAACAAAUUACCCCAAAACAUAGUGACAUAAAAUAACAAUAAAAAUUUAUUUUCUCUUAUGGUUUCUGUUGGUCAGAAAUCUGAGAAGGACUCAGCCA
This 2823-nucleotide long non-coding RNA is filed under the name Equus caballus (horse). Its description in RNAcentral is "lncRNA (ENSECAG00000048720.1)". The record is from RNAcentral. Lineage: Eukaryota; Metazoa; Chordata; Mammalia; Perissodactyla; Equidae.